AGAGUUUGAUCCUGGCUCAGGAUGAACGCUGGCGGCGUGCCUAAUACAUGCAAGUCGAGCGAACGGACGAGAAGCUUGCUUCUCUGAUGUUAGCGGCGGACGGGUGAGUAACACGUGGAUAACCUACCUAUAAGACUGGGAUAACUUCGGGAAACCGGAGCUAAUACCGGAUAAUAUUUUGAACCGCAUGGUUCAAAAGUGAAAGACGGUCUUGCUGUCACUUAUAGAUGGAUCCGCGCUGCAUUAGCUAGUUGGUAAGGUAACGGCUUACCAAGGCAACGAUGCAUAGCCGACCUGAGAGGGUGAUCGGCCACACUGGAACUGAGACACGGUCCAGACUCCUACGGGAGGCAGCAGUAGGGAAUCUUCCGCAAUGGGCGAAAGCCUGACGGAGCAACGCCGCGUGAGUGAUGAAGGUCUUCGGAUCGUAAAACUCUGUUAUUAGGGAAGAACAUAUGUGUAAGUAACUGUGCACAUCUUGACGGUACCUAAUCAGAAAGCCACGGCUAACUACGUGCCAGCAGCCGCGGUAAUACGUAGGUGGCAAGCGUUAUCCGGAAUUAUUGGGCGUAAAGCGCGCGUAGGCGGUUUUUUAAGUCUGAUGUGAAAGCCCACGGCUCAACCGUGGAGGGUCAUUGGAAACUGGAAAACUUGAGUGCAGAAGAGGAAAGUGGAAUUCCAUGUGUAGCGGUGAAAUGCGCAGAGAUAUGGAGGAACACCAGUGGCGAAGGCGACUUUCUGGUCUGUAACUGACGCUGAUGUGCGAAAGCGUGGGGAUCAAACAGGAUUAGAUACCCUGGUAGUCCACGCCGUAAACGAUGAGUGCUAAGUGUUAGGGGGUUUCCGCCCCUUAGUGCUGCAGCUAACGCAUUAAGCACUCCGCCUGGGGAGUACGACCGCAAGGUUGAAACUCAAAGGAAUUGACGGGGACCCGCACAAGCGGUGGAGCAUGUGGUUUAAUUCGAAGCAACGCGAAGAACCUUACCAAAUCUUGACAUCCUUUGACAACUCUAGAGAUAGAGCUUUCCCCUUCGGGGGACAAAGUGACAGGUGGUGCAUGGUUGUCGUCAGCUCGUGUCGUGAGAUGUUGGGUUAAGUCCCGCAACGAGCGCAACCCUUAAGCUUAGUUGCCAUCAUUAAGUUGGGCACUCUAAGUUGACUGCCGGUGACAAACCGGAGGAAGGUGGGGAUGACGUCAAAUCAUCAUGCCCCUUAUGAUUUGGGCUACACACGUGCUACAAUGGACAAUACAAAGGGCAGCGAAACCGUGAGGUCAAGCAAAUCCCAUAAAGUUGUUCUCAGUUCGGAUUGUAGUCUGCAACUCGACUACAUGAA
RNAcentral lists this ribosomal RNA (1335 nucleotides) under Staphylococcus aureus M17299. Its description in RNAcentral is "bacterial SSU rRNA". It matches the Rfam family "Bacterial small subunit ribosomal RNA", at positions 8 to 1324 of the family's 1533-position model. The record is from RNAcentral. Lineage: Bacteria; Bacillati; Bacillota; Bacilli; Caryophanales; Staphylococcaceae.